Molecule: long non-coding RNA, 1080 nt
Organism: Myxocyprinus asiaticus (Chinese sucker)
Lineage: Eukaryota; Metazoa; Chordata; Actinopteri; Cypriniformes; Catostomidae
Exons: 3
Source: RefSeq, a predicted model, not a curated record
GAACGGUGAUGGCAAAGUCAGCAUAGCCAUUUGGAACCAGGAAGUGUCGGGAAAAUUAUCCUAUAUGAGAAAACCCACAUGACGCUGCUCUCUUGCACUCAAAAAAUAAAGACAAAUGUCUAGACUCCCUGCCAAAAAGAGGUACCAGUUCUGUUCGCCGGGCUGCACAGCUGAAAAAAAAAAGAUUUCUCCAACUCAAGUUUAAGUACUUCCCCAACUGCAUGUCAUUAAAUGCUUAUAACAAGCUACUUCAGUCUGUUACCAAGAAAGCCCUGGAUGUUUUUUUUUUAGUUUUUUUUUUUAAGAGUGUACCUUAAAGGAAUAGUUCACCCAAAAAUGAAAAUUCUCUCAUCAUUCCUCAUGCCAUCUCAGACGUGUGACUUCUCAUGCUGCACACAAACGAAGAUUUUAUGAAGAAUUAGUAAAAAAGACUUAAAUAUUAAUCUGUUUCAAAUCCACACUUAUCAUAUAGCUUCUGAAUAUAUGGACUGAACCACUUGUAUGGUGUCUUUACGUGCAUUUUGGAGCUUCAGAAUAUUGGUGCGCAUUCACACGCAUUGAAUGGACAAACAGAGCAGAGAUAUUUAUCUCAAUCUUCUUUGUGUUCAGCAGAAGAAAGGAAGUCAUACACAUCUGGGAUGGCAUGAGGGUAUGUUAGUGAGAGAAUUAAAUCUUUUGGGUGAACUAUACCUUUAACAAUGACAUAUCAGAGAGUUAAUAUCAACACCCAUCUGAAGAAGCUGGAUGAAAAGGAGGACUUUUCCACAAUCUUCUUGGCAGCAGCAGGUCUUAAAAGAAUGGGCUGGGAGAACCGCAUUAGCCAGGUGCUUCCAUGUUACUUUAAUAAACUUUAUCCCUAAUGAGUAAAACACUCAAGAUUAUUGCAUCAUUUGAUUAAUAAGUGAGACAUAUAAUACUUUUUAAUGACAGUAAUAUAUUCAGGACACUUUUAACCAGCUGUGUUCAAUCAGACCAGGACUUUUCUUGCAUAUGAUCUCUUUAUCUCCUUGUUUCAGAUCCUCGGCCCUGAGGACUGCAUGUAUAUAGUCGGACAGGUGUGAAGCAUGUAAUGUCCUGCUA